GGGCUUGGUCGUAAGCUAAAAUGCACCAAGAAUGGGUGUCAAUACAUUUGUGUGAUGGUGGACUAUUUCACAAAGUGGCUUGAGGUAUACUCACUGAAAACCAAAGGAGCAGAAGAAAUCUCUGUGUAUAAUGGAUUUCUUCUAUAAAUAUGGCGCCCCAAAGCGUAUCCUCACCGACCGCGGAAAGGAAUUUGUGAACAAAGUAAGUUUAAUUUUAAGGCAAGUAAUAUUACUGUAUUUGUGGUCACGUUACCAAUGGAAGAAGCAUCAUUGUAUUCAAAAUAAGUUGUCCUCUUGUGCAUUUUAUAGAUGAAUACCGAGUGCCAGAAACUUGGCAUUGACCGAAGCCUCUGUGCUUCAUACCACCGGCAAACCAAUGGCUUGGUUGAAAAACUCAAUGGCACGCUUCAAGGGAGUUUUGAAGAAAAUGGUCCAGGAUCACCCCAGUGACUGGGACCAAUUCAUCAAGUCCACUGUGUUUGGUCUAAGGACGAAGAAACAACUGACCACAAAGUACUCCCCAUAUUUCCUUAUGUAUGGGAGGGAAGCUCGGUAUCCUUCCGAAAUGCCGGUCGAGUGGCAGUAAGAUAUUAGAGGACCGUAUCUGUGCGCUCACCAGGAAUGAAGAAGUUUUCAGCCACAUCACAGAUCAGAAGGAUGGGUUUGCUGAGGUUGCUGCAAAUCUGGCAAAAGGCCACGAACGGGUGCGCAAAAGAGUUGGCAAAGGGGGAUGAUGACGGCUAUGUUCUGGGGGACAAAGUAUUGCGGAAAAACAUAAGACCAAAGAAAAGGGGGCAAAAUGGAGGCAGACAUGAUGGGUCCAUAUACCAUAACCAACAUUGAUGGCAAAAGUGCUGAACUUAUGAGCAACAAAUAAAAGGAAAUCCUGAAAAUUAACAUCGACCAUCUCAAAAAAUAUGUGGAACCUGAAGAUUGUAUGCCAGGCAAAUGGAUGGCAGCGGCUUCUACUUCUCCACCUCUGCAGUCCAGCCCGUUGCAGUGUUUUGUUCCCCAAUCCCCUCUUGCUGACAAGCAAACAACCCCCCAACCGGUCUCCUUGACCUCCACUCUCCAGAGGAACGUAAGUACAGGUGUCAAUUCUUUGUAAUGACUUCAGUGACCUUACAUUUGUCUGGCAGUCUGU
Molecule: long non-coding RNA, 1144 nt
Organism: Gasterosteus aculeatus aculeatus (three-spined stickleback)
Lineage: Eukaryota; Metazoa; Chordata; Actinopteri; Perciformes; Gasterosteidae
Source: Ensembl